AAUUCUCAACUCUGAUUUGAUUUGUUUCUUAUCGGGGCUUGGACUUGGAGUGUGCUGGCAAUCUGGUCGGCUCCUCUCAAAUGCAUCAGCGGAAUCUAACCUUUGAUUUCCGGAAGUCGGUGUGAUAAUUAAGUUGCGCCGUCAUUCGACUUUGAAGUCCGCUUAUAAUGGUCUUCGGACAACUCUUAUAAA
RNAcentral lists this unclassified non-coding RNA (192 nucleotides) under uncultured Piloderma. RNAcentral describes it as "sequence contains ITS2". The record is from RNAcentral. Lineage: Eukaryota; Fungi; Basidiomycota; Agaricomycetes; Atheliales; Atheliaceae.